UACCCAACGAUGCACUGAACCGAGCAGGCUUAGUCCACAUGCGCUCCUGCUCCAUUUGUUGGUUUGGUUGGGAGACGGAGGAGGGGAUGAGAGCAACAGCGGGCGUCUUGGGGUGGGUUCGGGAGCGAGCGAGCGGCCUUAGAUCCCGCCGGCGCCGCCGGCCCUCGUCUGCGCGCGCCCUCCUCAUCAAGCCCAGGCGCGGCGUUGGGAAACGGAGCCGGUGGUGGCGGCAGGCGCGGCGGCGGGAAACAGCAGCGGUGGUGGCGGCAGGCGCGGCGGCGGGAAACAGCAGCGGUGGUGGCGGCAGGAGCGGCGUAGGUGGUGGUAGCAGGAUUGAAGAGAGCCGGCAACGGCCCCUAGGCCGGCGCGUUGUUUAGCUAGCGUUUCCUAGAGUUCCGGACGGCGGGACGGGCCGCGUGGGUAGGUCUCCGUGUACAAGAGGUGUCUAGGUAACCUAGGGAACGGCGGAGAGUAGCAGGAAAAAGUAGCACCGAACGGGACCUACGAUCUAAGACGUUAAGGAGUGGACGUCAUACCUUCACGUAGAAGUGGACCCCGCGAUCGACGACUACCGGUGUCUAUUGUCGCUGCACAUGUUCGCCUUCCGAAAAAGGAUUUCCCUAACUCUAAUGGUCCUAAGUCUAACCUAGGGACGACACAGUCACGCCUCUUGACGAGCUUGUGCAUCCGUACUGUACUGGCUACGACUAAUGCGGGCUUGACGGGAGGAAACUGUAUUUUCUAAGAGCUCGGGGAGCUGACUUUAGGGCUGAUUUGCGUUCAAAGGGAACAACUUUAAUGAUGCAGACUUCGAAGGUUAGAGCGGUUGAAGCGACCUCUUAGCACGCGGGCACGAGCUCGUCUCCAUGGUUAAAAGUCAUGACAAAAAUCCCCGAAGAUGUACUUAGGGUACGUACCGAAACACCGUACGUUCUGAAAGAACGAUCUGUUCGUUCUUUUGUCUCGGUAGUGCGAACGGGAUGGCAUCGUCGGAAGUUUCGUGGUGUAUUGCACCCGAGAGAGUUACAGUCAAGUAAUCGACUCGACUAAAGUGUACAAUUGUAGUACAUUGGAAAAAAGAUGUAACGUGUAAAUAGUCAACCUAAUGUAGCAUCUGACGUCAAGUCUAGUAAUAGUACAUCCAACGAGGAAACUUUCAAUCUGAAGUAUUUCUUCGUUAAACUAGGCUGGUGUUAUGGAGACUUAUCUACGUAGUACCUAAACACCCAAGUGGUAGAACCUUCCACGUUAAGACCACUACCACAGUAUUAACUAUUUAUACAUGCAACGAAGUAUACAACCUACCAAAACCGCCGGAAGACACACUCCAUCUGAACUGACUACUCCCGAACUUUUCCCCGGAACCAAAAGACAGUUGACUUUUGAGACAAAUACGUGUUGGAUAUAGGAGAUACUCUUCCUUGACCUACCUCGUUCAAGAUGUACGGAGUUUAACGAAUUUAUAUACGAUUCGAGUGAACUAAAUGGGUCGCCUCAUUUGUUUUUGACCCAGGUCUUGAUGACGUACGCAUUACGUUGUGAAGAAAAUACAUGAUGGAGUUACGCCCUCACAAUUAACAACUAGGGUGAUUCAGACGUAAACAAUUUUGUACCACAAAACCAUCCUCUACUGACAGUUGAGUCACGUUACCAAUCUCGUUUCAUUCCAUAACGGAGUGGGAGAAAUAUGACAGACUAAAGUGAAUGAGUAACCACGUAAAUGAUUUUCUAUUUGAAGACUAUGAUUUUACGAUAAAAAAAGAACUCUUUUUAACAUUACCGGUAUAGAAAGGAAAUACAAGGUAACAAUAAAUAGACAAAAACUAUUAGAAUUAAGAAUGAAAGGUAACAAAUAGAGAUCCAUACGUUUCUUCAACCUAAACGCUGUUCAAAUAAACCCUCUAACCAAUACGAGGUUAAAUUAUAUGUAAACGACUUGUAUGUCAUAGUGUACUUAGGAAGAAGUCCAAUAAAGGUUUACAGGUCAAAAUACUCUCCUUCUAAUCGUACCGCCGGUUCAACUUCCACGUGAAGGUGCGGCCGCCGGGCUAGAGCUGCCGUUAGGCUGCGUCCGCCGCAGGUGGUUGUCGAGGAGGAGGUUCCUGCUCCACCCGGUGCGCGUUCUCUGGAUGCACGUCUAAACGACAAAGUACAGUAAAUAAAAGAAUAAAGGACAAACCAGAAUUAAGGUCAAAAAACAAACAUUAUCAACAAGUACCCUACUUUAAAGGUUUAGUGCAACCAAACAAACGUAUGGGUUUAACAUUACUAAUAUAAAAUAAUGAAAGGUAGCACCUAUCUCUACAUAAACAGG
Molecule: ribosomal RNA, 2314 nt
Filed under: Triticum aestivum (bread wheat)
Lineage: Eukaryota; Viridiplantae; Streptophyta; Magnoliopsida; Poales; Poaceae
Description: partial small subunit ribosomal RNA
Source: RNAcentral